Molecule: ribosomal RNA, 549 nt
Filed under: uncultured Glomus
Lineage: Eukaryota; Fungi; Glomeromycota; Glomeromycetes; Glomerales; Glomeraceae
Description: SSU rRNA
Rfam family: Eukaryotic small subunit ribosomal RNA
Source: RNAcentral
UUGGAGGGCAAGUCUGGUGCCAGCAGCCGCGGUAAUUCCAGCUCCAAUAGCGUAUAUUAAAGUUGUUGCAGUUAAAAAGCUCGUAGUUGAAUUUCGGGAUCAAAUAAUCGGUCGUGCCUCCGGUACGUACUGGUUUUAUUGGUUCCUCCCUUCUGACGAACCAUGAUGUCAUUAAUUUGAUGUGGUGGAGAAUCAGGACUGUUACCUUGAAAAAAUUAGAGUGUUUAAAGCAGGCUAACGCUUGGAUACAUUAGCAUGGAAUAAUGAAAUAGGACGUUCGACCCUAUUUUGUUGGUUUCUAGGAUCGACGUAAUGAUUAAUAGGGAUAGUUGGGGGCAUUAGUAUUCAAUUGUCAGAGGUGAAAUUCUUGGAUUUAUUGAAGACUAACUACUGCGAAAGCAUUUGCCAAGGAUGUUUUCAUUAAUCAAGAACGAAAGUUAGGGGAUCGAAGACGAUCAGAUACCGUCGUAGUCUUAACCAUAAACUAUGCCGACUAGGGAUCGGAUGAUGUUAAUUUUUUAAUGACUCAUUCGGCGCCUUACGGGAAAC